GUCACGAUAGCUCAAAUGGUAGAGCAGUGGCUUAUUUAGCCAAAGGUCGUGGGUUCGAAUCCCGCUCGUGACA
This 73-nucleotide non-coding RNA is filed under the name Cimex lectularius (bed bug). RNAcentral describes it as "tRNA". It matches the Rfam family "tRNA". From Rfam's summary of the family: Transfer RNA (tRNA) molecules are approximately 80 nucleotides in length. Their secondary structure includes four short double-helical elements and three loops (D, anti-codon, and T loops). Further hydrogen bonds mediate the characteristic L-shaped molecular structure. tRNAs have two regions of fundamental functional importance: the anti-codon, which is responsible for specific mRNA codon recognition, and the 3' end, to which the tRNAs corresponding amino acid is attached (by aminoacyl-tRNA synthetases). tRNAs cope with the degeneracy of the genetic code in two manners: having more than one tRNA (with a specific anti-codon) for a particular amino acid; and 'wobble' base-pairing, i.e. permitting non-standard base-pairing at the 3rd anti-codon position. Lineage: Eukaryota; Metazoa; Arthropoda; Insecta; Hemiptera; Cimicidae. The record is from Rfam by way of RNAcentral.